This 62-nucleotide ribosomal RNA is filed under the name Alternaria sp. C19. Its description in RNAcentral is "partial 28S ribosomal RNA". It matches the Rfam family "Eukaryotic large subunit ribosomal RNA", at positions 1 to 59 of the family's 3401-position model. The record is from RNAcentral. Lineage: Eukaryota; Fungi; Ascomycota; Dothideomycetes; Pleosporales; Pleosporaceae.
UUUUGACCUCGGAUCAGGUAGGGAUACUCGCUGAACUUAAGCAUAUCAAUAAGCGGAGGAAA